GCUUGGACGAAUAUCAAUGGAUGGCCUGGAUGAAUAUCGAUGGGCUCUGGGGGUCCUCGUUGGUUUGCCCCCACUCUAAUCUUCGGCCCAGAUGAAUAUCGAUGGGUGGUUUGGAUGAAUAUCAACAGGCUUCGGGGGUCCUCAUUGGUUAGCCCCCACUCUUUAGUCAUCGAGAUCUUCUUCCAGUCCUUAAGUCAGGUUAAGCUUCAAAGUAAAG
This 217-nucleotide long non-coding RNA is filed under the name Elaeis guineensis (African oil palm). Its description in RNAcentral is "long non-coding RNA (EGUI_LNC063138)". The record is from RNAcentral. Lineage: Eukaryota; Viridiplantae; Streptophyta; Magnoliopsida; Arecales; Arecaceae.